GACGAAGGUGGCGAGCGUUGUUCGGAAUCACUGGGCUUAAAGCGCACGUAGGCGGCUGAUCAAGUGUCUUGUGAAAUCCCUCGGCUCAACCGAGGAAUGGCUGGGCAAACUGAUCGGCUUGAGGUAGGUAGGGGCGAGUGGAACUCUUGGUGGAGCGGUGGAAUGCGUAGAUAUCAAGAGGAACGCCGGUGGCGAAGGCGACUCGCUGGGCCUGUCCUGACGCUGAGGUGCGAAAGCCAGGGGAGCAAACGGG
RNAcentral lists this ribosomal RNA (253 nucleotides) under uncultured prokaryote. RNAcentral describes it as "partial 16S ribosomal RNA". It matches the Rfam family "Bacterial small subunit ribosomal RNA", at positions 524 to 776 of the family's 1533-position model. The record is from RNAcentral.